GCUUACGACCACACCGGUCUGAGUACACCUGAUCUCGUCUGAUCUCGGAAGCUAAGCAGGGUCGUGCCUGGUUAGUACUUGGAUGGGAGACCGCCUGGGAAUACCAGGUGCUGUAAGCU
RNAcentral lists this ribosomal RNA (119 nucleotides) under Oncorhynchus kisutch (coho salmon). Lineage: Eukaryota; Metazoa; Chordata; Actinopteri; Salmoniformes; Salmonidae. The record is from RNAcentral.